This 409-nucleotide ribosomal RNA is filed under the name bacterium. RNAcentral's name for it is "partial 16S ribosomal RNA". It matches the Rfam family "Bacterial small subunit ribosomal RNA", at positions 355 to 776 of the family's 1533-position model. The record is from RNAcentral.
UGGGGAAUAUUGCACAAUGGGCGAAAGCCUGAUGCAGCGACGCCGCGUGAGGGAUGACGGCCUUCGGGUUGUAAACCUCUUUCAGCAGGGACGAAGCGCAAGUGACGGUACCUGCAGAAGAAGCACCGGCUAACUACGUGCCAGCAGCCGCGGUAAUACGUAGGGUGCAAGCGUUGUCCGGAAUUACUGGGCGUAAAGAGUUCGUAGGCGGUUUGGCGCGUCGUUUGUGAAAACCAGCAGCUCAACUGCUGGCUUGCAGGCGAUACGGGCAGACUUGAGUACCGCAGGGGAGACUGGAAUUCCUGGUGUAGCGGUGAAAUGUGCAGAUAUCAGGAGGAACACCGGUGGCGAAGGCGGGUCUCUGGGCAGUAACUGACGCUGAGGAACGAAAGCGUGGGUAGCGAACAGG